This 499-nucleotide ribosomal RNA is filed under the name uncultured Methanomicrobiales archaeon. RNAcentral's name for it is "bacterial SSU rRNA". It matches the Rfam family "Archaeal small subunit ribosomal RNA", at positions 858 to 1338 of the family's 1478-position model. The record is from RNAcentral. Lineage: Archaea; Methanobacteriati; Methanobacteriota; Methanomicrobia; Methanomicrobiales.
CGCCCGCUCAGAAACUUAAAUAGAAGUUGACGGGGGAGCACCACAACAGGUGGAGCCUGCGGUUUAAUCGGACUCAACGCCGGGAAACUCACCAGAUAAGACAGCUGAAUGAUAGUCGGGCUGAAGACUCUACUUGACUAGCUGAGAGGAGGUGCAUGGCCGUCGUCAGUUCGUACUGUGAAGCAUCCUGUUAAGUCAGGCAACGAGCGAGACCACGCCAACAGUUGCCAGCUCGUCCUCCGGGAUGGUGGGGACACUGUUGGGACCGCCUCUGCUAAAGAGGAGGAAGGAAUGGGCAACGGUAGGUCAGCAUGCCCCGAAUUAUCUGGGCUACACGCGGGCUACAAUGGGUGGGACAAUGGGUAUCGACACCGAAAGGUGAAGGCAAUCUCCUAAACCCAUCCGUAGUUCGGAUUGUGGGCUGCAACUCGCCCACAUGAAGCUGGAAUCUGUAGUAAUCGUGUCUCAAAAUGGCACGGUGAAUAUGUCCCUGCUCCUU